This 434-nucleotide ribosomal RNA is filed under the name uncultured bacterium. Its description in RNAcentral is "bacterial SSU rRNA". It matches the Rfam family "Bacterial small subunit ribosomal RNA", at positions 29 to 508 of the family's 1533-position model. The record is from RNAcentral.
AAUGAACGCUGGCGGCAUGUCUAACACAUGCAAGUCGAACGAGACCUUCGGGUCUAGUGGCGCACGGGUGCGUAACGCGUGGGAAUCUGCCCCUUGGUUCGGAAUAACAGUUGGAAACGACUGCUAAUACCGGAUGAUGACGUAAGUCCAAAGAUUUAUCGCCGAGGGAUGAGCCCGCGUAGGAUUAGGUAGUUGGUGUGGUAAAGGCGCACCAAGCCGACGAUCCUUAGCUGGUCUGAGAGGAUGAUCAGCCACACUGGGACUGAGACACGGCCCAGACUCCUACGGGAGGCAGCAGUGGGGAAUAUUGGACAAUGGGCGAAAGCCUGAUCCAGCAAUGCCGCGUGAGUGAUGAAGGCCUUAGGGUUGUAAAGCUCUUUUACCCGGGAUGAUAAUGACAGUACCGGGAGAAUAAGCUCCGGCUAACUCCGUGC